UACGUAGGGGGCGAGCGUUAUCCGGAUUUACUGGGUGUAAAGGGAGCGUAGACGGCGAUGCAAGUCUGGAGUGAAAACCCAGGGCUCAACUCUGGGAUUGCUUUGGAAACUGUAUAGCUGGAGUGCAGGAGAGGCAGGCGGAAUUCCUAGUGUAGCGGUGAAAUGCGUAGAUAUUAGGAGGAACACCAGUGGCGAAGGCGGCCUGCUGGACUGAGACUGACGUUGAGGCUCGAAGGCGUGGGGAGCAAACAGG
RNAcentral lists this ribosomal RNA (253 nucleotides) under uncultured bacterium. RNAcentral describes it as "partial 16S ribosomal RNA". It matches the Rfam family "Bacterial small subunit ribosomal RNA", at positions 524 to 776 of the family's 1533-position model. The record is from RNAcentral.